Molecule: ribosomal RNA, 243 nt
Filed under: uncultured bacterium
Lineage: Bacteria
Description: partial 16S ribosomal RNA
Rfam family: Bacterial small subunit ribosomal RNA
Source: RNAcentral
GGGUAGCCUGCCCAAGAGACUGGGAUAACACCUGGAAACAGAUGCUAAUACCGGAUAACAACACUAGACGCAUGUCUAGAGUUUAAAAGAUGGUUCUGCUAUCACUAUUGGAUGGACCUGCGGUGCAUUAGCUAGUUGGUAAGGUAACGGCUUACCAAGGCAAUGAUGCAUAGCCGAGUUGAGAGACUGAUCGGCCACAUUGGGACUGAGACACGGUCCAAACUCCUACGGGAGGCAGCAGGC